CUUAAAAGCUGGCGGGAUCCGACCGAGGUCUGGGUCGCUUGCUGGAGUGGAGGUGGGCCAGCCAGACCCGGCAUGGGGUUGGGCUCCUGCAGCUCCCGUGGAUCUCCCACCCGCGCCUUUUGCCUUGUGUAGAGCCUGGGUGGAGGAGUAGGGGGAGAGGGCAGGUGGCUGGCCUUCUGCACCCUCUGUCUCCCAGGCCGCUUCAGGGGCCGUGGAAGGAGCCUUAACUACGCUCAAACGGUCAUAUUUGUAGACAGUAAAAUGAUAAGGACUGAGCAGCCCAAAGUUAGCCUUCUGUACCCUGGAGAGCCUGGGAAUGGCUAUCUGCCUAGUCCGCGAGCCAGAAGACACAGCAGUCCCAACCUGGUGCCGAAGGCCUGGAAGAUCCCUGCUUGUUGCUGGGCUUCAUGAGAAGCUGGACAAUGACUUCAGUGGAGUACAGUGGCGGUGGCAGCAGACACACCAGCAAGAAGCCAAGUGCAACCUCAUCAGAGAGCAAGCUAAAAGCCUGGCGGUUUUAUCUGUAGUCACAGAGCAAGAGGGCAAUGCCACCAUUGCUGGAACCAAGACUUGAAAUAUGGAAUUCACACAGUUCACUGUCCACACGCAGGAGGACCCAGAUGCUCCAGACUGGCUAGAGUGACUGGGAAGCUGAGAGUUCUGAAUCAAGCCACGCGGCCUCACAGCUUACCUUACUUCCUUCUCAAUUGCUAUGGCAAGACUCUAUGACCAAGGUGAUAUAAAAGAAAGCGUUUAAUUUGGGGCUCACGGUUCCAGAAGGCCAGAGUCUAUGACCAGCUGGGUAAGGAGCAUGACAGCAGGUAGGCAGCCAUGGCACUGGAACUGUAGCUGAGAGAUUGCGUCUUGAACCACAAGCGGGAGGCAGAGAGAGCUAACUCCAAGAUGGUUUAGGCUUCUGAAACCUCAGCGCCUGCCCCGAGUCACACAUCUCCUCCAGUAGAGCCACACCUCUUCAUCCUCUCCAAACAGUUCCAGCAAGCAAGCAUUCAAAUAGACGAGCCUGUGAGGCCGCUCCUAAUCAAGCCAUCAAACACCACAUCCACAGGGCUGAAGUUACCCCAUCAAGUGUCUCCAGACAGUGUUAGGGCUCACUUCCCAUUGUUCAGGAAAAGCAAAUUCUUUUUUUUUUUUUAAAGAUUUAUUUAUUUAUUAUGUAUACAACAUUCUGCU
Molecule: long non-coding RNA, 1191 nt
Organism: Microtus ochrogaster (prairie vole)
Lineage: Eukaryota; Metazoa; Chordata; Mammalia; Rodentia; Cricetidae
Source: RefSeq, a predicted model, not a curated record